RNAcentral lists this ribosomal RNA (484 nucleotides) under uncultured bacterium. RNAcentral describes it as "partial 16S ribosomal RNA". It matches the Rfam family "Bacterial small subunit ribosomal RNA", at positions 29 to 507 of the family's 1533-position model. The record is from RNAcentral.
AUUGAACGCUGGCGGCAUGCUUUACACAUGCAAGUCGAACGGCAGCGCGGGCUUCGGCCUGGCGGCGAGUGGCGAACGGGUGAGUAAUACAUCGGAACGUGCCCCGUAGUGGGGGAUAGCUCGGCGAAAGCCGGAUUAAUACCGCAUACUACCUGCUGGUGAAACCGGGGGAUCUUCGGACCUCGCGCUAUUGGAGCGGCCGAUGCCGGAUUAGCUAGUUGGUGGGGUAAAGGCCUACCAAGGCGACGAUCUGUAGCUGGUCUGAGAGGACGACCAGCCACACUGGGACUGAGACACGGCCAAGACGCCUAAGGGAGGCAGCAGUGGGGAAUUUUGGACAAUGGGCGAAAGCCUGAUCCAGCAAGGCCGCGUGUGUGAUGAAGGCCUUCGGGUUGUAAAGAACUUUUGGCGGGAACGAAAAGGACUGUGCCAAUACCACGGUUCGAUGACGGUACCCGCAGAAUAAGCACCGGCUAACUACGUG